AGCCGGCCCAACGGCCGGGUAAUACCGCAUACGAUCGAGACCAGGCAUUUGGACUCGAUGAAAUCUACGGAGCAAUUCGAGGGGCUCGCGGCCUAUCAGCUAGUUGGUGGGGUAACGGCUCACCAAGGCGACGACGGGUAGCUGGUCUGAGAGGAUGGCCAGCCACAUUGGGACUGAGAUACGGCCCAGACUCCUACGGGAGGCAGCAGUGGGGAAUCUUGCGCAAUGGCCUAACGGCUGACGCAGCGACGCCGCGUGAGGGAUGACGCUCUUCGGAGUGUAAACCUCUUUUGCCCGGGACGAAUUGCCAGUUUUCACUGGCUUGACGGUACCGGGUGAAUAAGCACCGGCUAACUCCGUGCCAGCAGCCGCGGUAAUACGGGGGGUGCGAGCGUUGUCCGGAAUCACUGGGCGUAAAGGGCGCGUAGGUGGUCUGAUAAGGGUGUGGUGAAAGCCCGGGGCUCAACCCCGGGUCGGCCGUGCCGACUGUUGGACUAGAGUGCUGUAGGGGCAGGCGGAAUUCCGGGUGUAGCGGUGGAAUGCGUAGAGAUCCGGAGAAGACCGGUGGC
Molecule: ribosomal RNA, 569 nt
Filed under: uncultured bacterium
Lineage: Bacteria
Description: bacterial SSU rRNA
Rfam family: Bacterial small subunit ribosomal RNA
Source: RNAcentral